AGCGAACGCUGGCGGCAGGCUUAACACAUGCAAGUCGAGCGGGCAUCCUUGUGGUGUCAGCGGCAGACGGGUGAGUAACGCGUGGGAACGUGCCCUUCGGUUCGGAAUAACUCAGGGAAACUUGAGCUAAUACCGGAUACGUGCGAGAGCAGAAAGGUUUAUCUGCCGAAGGAUCGGCCCGCGUCUGAUUAGCUAGUUGGUGAGGUUAUGGCUCACCAAGGCGACGAUCAGUAGCUGGUCUGAGAGGAUGAUCAGCCACACUGGGACUGAGACACGGCCCAGACUCCUACGGGAGGCAGCAGUGGGGAAUAUUGGAAAAUGGGGGCAACCCUGAUCCAGCCAGGCCGCGUGAGUGAUGACGGCCUUAGGGUUGUAAAGCUCUUUUAUCCGGGACGAUAAUGACGGUACCGGAGGAAUAAGCCCCGGCUAACUUCGUG
Molecule: ribosomal RNA, 437 nt
Filed under: uncultured bacterium
Lineage: Bacteria
Description: partial 16S ribosomal RNA
Rfam family: Bacterial small subunit ribosomal RNA
Source: RNAcentral